UCUACGGGAGGCAGCAGUGGGGAAUAUUGGACAAUGGGCGAAAGCCUGAUCCAGCCAUGCCGCGUGUGUGAAGAAGGCCUUCGGGUUGUAAAGCACUUUCAGUGGGGAAGAAAGCCUUGGGGCUAAUACCCUCGAGGAAGGACAUCACCCACAGAAGAAGCACCGGCUAACUCCGUGCCAGCAGCCGCGGUAAUACGGAGGGUGCGAGCGUUAAUCGGAAUUGCUGGGCGUAAAGCGCGCGUAGGCGGUCUGAUAAGCCGGUUGUGAAAGCCCCGGGCUCAACCUGGGAACGGCAUCCGGAACUGUCAGGCUAGAGUGCAGGAGAGGAAGGUAGAAGUCCCGGUGUAGCGGUGAAAUGCGUAGAGAUCGGGAGGAAUACCAGUGGCGAAGGCGGCCUUCUGGACUGACACUGACGCUGAGGUGCGAAAGCGUGGGUAGCAAACAGGAUUAGAACCCCUGUAGUC
RNAcentral lists this ribosomal RNA (464 nucleotides) under Vreelandella stevensii. RNAcentral describes it as "partial 16S ribosomal RNA". It matches the Rfam family "Bacterial small subunit ribosomal RNA", at positions 338 to 795 of the family's 1533-position model. The record is from RNAcentral. Lineage: Bacteria; Pseudomonadati; Pseudomonadota; Gammaproteobacteria; Oceanospirillales; Halomonadaceae.